UUGGAUAUCAGGGAAAGGUUCUUAUCCCAGAGGGUGCUCAGGCACUGAACACACUCCCCAGGCAAUGGGCACAGCCCCAAGGCUGACAGAGCUCCAGGAGUGUUUGGACAAUGCUCUCAGCACACGGUGGGAUUGCUGGGGUGUCCUGUGCAGGGACAAGAGCUGGACACCAAUUAUCCUUGUAGGUCCCUUCCAACUCCAUAUUCCAUGAUCCCGUGAGUAACAGCCAGAUCACUCCCACAGGGAGCCUGCACAAAUCUUUUCUAUUAAAGCAUCCAAAGAACUUCUGACCAAAUGGGCACUGUUUACAAGAAAUGACCACCCUUCCCAUUCUCUUCACUCUUUCCUAUCCUGUUCUCAAUUCCCAUCCCACCACUAACUGUGGUGGGAGGUUUUGGACCCAAACCCAGUUUAUUUCUGCAGAGUUAAUGGACGAUCAGCUGCUGCUGCUGCUGGAAUCCUUGGAAAGGAAGAUUGUGUCCCAACAGCUGAGGCUGGUUGAAAACCUCCUGAAUCAUGACCUGGAUAAGGGGAAGGAGACUUUCCAUUUUGAUGCUGAGCUGCUUUCCUUCCCACACGAGGAGGAACAGAGGUUAACCACGGAACUGGUGGAGCUGAGUGGAGUGCAGCUCCAGGAAGAUGGAUCAGCUCUCCUGAGGGAUCAACCCUUUGAGCCCAUGGCAGCCUUGUUUGUGGCUCUGUACGCCCUCAACCUCCUGAGUGGCUCUGAGUAGGAGGUACCUGGCCCUGCCCAGGGAACUUCUCUACAAUGUCUUGGGAAAUCUCUGCUCUCAAGCCAGCUUUCUGUCCCAGUAUCAUCCUUGUUAAUGCUCAAGGCUGCUUUGGCUGGCAAAAGCAAAUUUAAGGCUGGAAAACUCAUUAUGGACAUUAAAGGUUGGAUGUUGAAGUGGAUUUCUUUCACUGACACCUCCAUGGUCCCAACACUGCCAUCAUCCCUGAGAUCCUCAAGGGACACAGGCAGCACUUUAGAGAAGCCAUACUUUCAUUACCACUUUAUAAAGAGGACCUUCUUUCUAGGCAACUGGGUGUUCUCAAAGUCAAUUUCUUAAUUUUGUAUGUUUUGGUCCCACAGCACAUCUGACAAGCUCGGGAUGCUGUAUGAGAAAUACAGGCACUUAGCCCUGGGGGGAAGUCGGGAGUCCCUCAGGCUGUGGGGCCCUGGGAGGGUCCCUGGAGGACAGGGGUGCCUGCAGCAAGGGGCAGCACUGCUCACCUGUGUGGCCACUGACGACUCUGGAUCUCCAGCACCAGGUGCCAGGCUCUGCCUUGCAACAGCAACGAGGGCAGCCCGGCCCCAACCUGGAACCAUCGUAGCAUUGGCACCAGACCAGACCCCUCACAGAACCCCCAGCUUCAACCUGGCCCCCCCAUAAGACUCCCCCGGCCCACAUCCUCACUGGACCACUCACGGGAUUCCCGAGGCCAGCCCAGCCCUCACAGGGGAUCCCCAAGCCCACAAGGGACACUUCACGGGAUCCCCGGUCCAGUGCAGCCCCUCAAGGGACCCUUCACGGGAUCCCUCACAGAAUCCACGAUCCCAGCCCAGCCCUUCACGGCAUCCCCGACCUGGCCCUAGCGCGGCCCCUCAUGGGACCCCUCACGGGUCCCCUCACAGAAUCCUCGGUCACAGCGCGGCCCCUCACGGGACCCUUCACGGGAUCCCCCACCACAGCCAAGCCCCUCACGAGCCCUCGCGCUGCGCCUCAGAGAAGA
Molecule: long non-coding RNA, 1734 nt
Filed under: Cyanistes caeruleus (blue tit)
Lineage: Eukaryota; Metazoa; Chordata; Aves; Passeriformes; Paridae
Description: lncRNA (ENSCCEG00000005500.1)
Source: RNAcentral